This 462-nucleotide ribosomal RNA is filed under the name uncultured bacterium. RNAcentral's name for it is "partial 16S ribosomal RNA". It matches the Rfam family "Bacterial small subunit ribosomal RNA", at positions 339 to 795 of the family's 1533-position model. The record is from RNAcentral.
CUACGGGGGGCUGCAGUGGGGAAUAUUGCACAAUGGGCGCAAGCCUGAUGCAGCCAUGCCGCGUGUAUGAAGAAGGCCUUCGGGUUGUAAAGUACUUUCAGCGGGGAGGAAGGGAGUAAAGUUAAUACCUUUGCUCAUUGACGUUACCCGCAGAAGAAGCACCGGCUAACUCCGUGCCAGCAGCCGCGGUAAUACGGAGGGUGCAAGCGUUAAUCGGAAUUACUGGGCGUAAAGCGCACGCAGGCGGUUUGUUAAGUCAGUGUGAAAUCCCCGGGCUCAACCUGGGAACUGCAUCUGAUACUGGCAAGCUUGAGUCUCGUAGAGGGGGUAGAAUUCCAGGUGUAGCGGUGAAAUGCGUAGAGAUCUGGAGGAAUACCGGUGGCGAAGGCGGCCCCCUGGACGAAGACUGACGCUCAGGUGCGAAAGCGUGGGGAGCAAACAGGAUUAGAUACCCCGGUAGUC